CAUCAGAUGACUGAAAGCAAGUAAUGGUCUCUUAAACCAAAAAAUGGUACGUUAGCAAAUACCCCUGAUGA
Molecule: transfer RNA, 71 nt
Filed under: Termitogeton planus
Lineage: Eukaryota; Metazoa; Arthropoda; Insecta; Blattodea; Rhinotermitidae
Description: tRNA-Lys
Source: RNAcentral